This 458-nucleotide ribosomal RNA is filed under the name uncultured bacterium. RNAcentral describes it as "partial 16S ribosomal RNA". It matches the Rfam family "Bacterial small subunit ribosomal RNA", at positions 338 to 795 of the family's 1533-position model. The record is from RNAcentral.
CCUACGGGAGGCAGCAGUGAGGAAUAUUGGUCAAUGGGCGAGAGCCUGAACCAGCCAAGUCGCGUGAGGGAUUACUGCCCUAUGGGUUGUAAACCUCUUUUGUCGGGGAGCAAAAGCCGGACCUGUCCGGCUGUGAGAGUACCCGAGGAAAAAGCAUCGGCUAACACCGUGCCAGCAGCCGCGGUAAUACGGAGGAUACGAGCGUUUUCCAGAUUUUUUGGGUUUAAGGGGGGCGCAUGCGGAUGUUUAAGUGAGCGGUCAAAUCUUGGGGCUCAACCCCAUCCAGCCGUUGAAACUGGGGAUCUAGAGUGUGCGAGAGGUAUGCGGAAUGCGUGGUGUAGCGGUGAAAUGCAUAGAUAUCACGCAGAACCCCGAUUGCGAAGGCAGCAUACCGGUGCACAACUGACGCUCAGGCACGAAAGCGUGGGUAUCGAACAGGAUUAGAUACCCGGGUAGUC